Long non-coding RNA from Hyla sarda, 457 nucleotides. RefSeq lists it as uncharacterized. NCBI's taxonomy places the organism in Eukaryota, Metazoa, Chordata, Amphibia, Anura, Hylidae. The record is from RefSeq and is a predicted model, not a curated record. The transcript is spliced from 3 exons.
GAUUUAUCAAAAUCUGUGCAGAGGAAAAGUUGCUGAGUUGCCCAUAGCAACCAAUCAGAUCGCUGCUUUCACUUUGCAGAGGCCUUGUUAAAAACGAAAGCAGCGAUCUGAUUGGUUGCUAUGGGCAACUGGGCAACUUCUCCUCUGCACAGGUUUUGAUAAAUCUCCCCCAAUAUCAUCCAUAGUUAUAGGAGAGGACGUAUUCUACUCUACAUAAUCCUGCCGCCUCCCUCAUAUAGGACUAUAUGAGAGGUCACGUAUAAUAAACACAGAUAAUCCCGGACAAUCUCAGCAGCCCAAGAGUAAAGCUAACAGGAGAUGUACUGGAAGUCCCAUAGACUGGCAUGGAUCUGCAGAGAAAACCCCCUACCCUUGUCAAUAGGGAUCACUGGACUCACCAUGUUUUGGGCUCAGUAUAGGAAAGGGAUCUCCCAGCUUCCAAAAGAAAUACAUAAAG